Molecule: ribosomal RNA, 373 nt
Filed under: uncultured bacterium
Lineage: Bacteria
Description: bacterial SSU rRNA
Rfam family: Bacterial small subunit ribosomal RNA
Source: RNAcentral
AUACGGAGGAUCCGAGCGUUAUCCGGAUUUAUUGGGUUUAAAGGGUGCGUAGGCGGACCUGUAAGUCAGUGGUGAAAGUUUGCGGCUCAACCGUAAAAUUGCCAUUGAAACUACCGGUCUUGAGUGUAAAUGAGGUAGGCGGAAUGUGUUGUGUAGCGGUGAAAUGCUUAGAUAUAACACAGAACACCAAUUGCGAAGGCAGCUUACUAGGAUACAACUGACGCUGAGGCACGAAAGCGUGGGGAUCAAACAGGAUUAGAUACCCUGGUAGUCCACGCAGUAAACGAUGAAUACUAGCUGUAUGCGAUAUAAUGUAUGUGGCAAAGCGAAAGCGUUAAGUAUUCCACCUGGGGAGUACGUUCGCAAGAAUGAA